This 254-nucleotide ribosomal RNA is filed under the name uncultured bacterium. RNAcentral describes it as "partial 16S ribosomal RNA". It matches the Rfam family "Bacterial small subunit ribosomal RNA", at positions 524 to 776 of the family's 1533-position model. The record is from RNAcentral.
UACGGGGGGAGCAAGCGUUGUUCGGAUUUACUGGGCGUAAAGGGCGCGUAGGCGGCCUCCGCAAGUCAGUUGUGAAAUCUCCGAGCUUAACUCGGAAAGGUCAACUGAUACUGCGGGGCUAGAGUGCGGAAGGGGCAACUGGAAUUCUUGGUGUAGCGGUGAAAUGCGUAGAUAUCAGGAGGAACACCAAUUGCGAAGGCAGCUCGCUGGGACGUUACUGACGCUGAGACGCGAAAGCGUGGGGAGCAAACAGG